GAUGAAGAACGUAGCGAAAUGCGAUAAGUAGUGUGAAUUGCAGAAUUCAGUGAAUCAUCGAAUCUUUGAACGCACAUUGCGCCCCUUGGUAUUCCAUGGGGCAUGCCUGUUCGAGCGUCAUUUGUACCUUCAAGCUUUGCUUGGUGUUGGGUGUUUGUCUCGCCUUUGCGUGUAGACUCGCCUUAAAAUAAUUGGCAGCCUGCGUAUUGAUUUCGGAGCGCAGUACAUCUCGCGCUUUGCACUCAUAACGACAGCGUCCAAAAGUACAUUUUACACUCUUGACCUCGGAUCAGGUAGGGAUACCCGCUGAACUUAAGCAUAUCAAUAAGCGGAGGA
This 336-nucleotide unclassified non-coding RNA is filed under the name soil metagenome. Its description in RNAcentral is "partial contains 5.8S ribosomal RNA, internal transcribed spacer 2, and large subunit ribosomal RNA". The stretch from base 1 to 120 matches the Rfam family "5.8S ribosomal RNA", at positions 35 to 154 of the family's 154-position model. The record is from RNAcentral.